Long non-coding RNA from Marmota monax (woodchuck), 858 nucleotides. RefSeq lists it as uncharacterized. The transcript is spliced from 3 exons. The record is from RefSeq and is a predicted model, not a curated record. NCBI's taxonomy places the organism in Eukaryota, Metazoa, Chordata, Mammalia, Rodentia, Sciuridae.
AAAGCAAGUUUCCCAGAGAAAGAUGGAAAGCUGAUUUCCCUGAGAUUCCCCGUAUCUGUGCACACGGGACAGCUUUCUGACUUUGAGAAUCAACUCACUUUGAUUUCUUCCUGUGUGAUGAGGAAAUAACGCCUAGAGUAUGAGAACUGUGUGCGGUCACUCGGGAACGGCACCUGGCAGAGAGCGGGCACACAGACGUGGGCGCACCUUCUUCAUCACCAUCUACCAGAAAAGAAGGCACAAGAUUAAGAAUCUGAAGCACGGAGAGGUGAAGUAAGUCGGCGAAGAUCACACAGCCAGCAGGUGGCAGAAAUGGAACUUGAGCAAAGAUAGACCUCCAGAGCCUACACUCUCCACCCGUACACAGGAGCCCUUGUCAAGUGUUCAACAUUAGGUGAAGGAGUAACAGUAUUUAAUUUCUGUGUUUUGUUUUAUUGAUUCAUUUCCUGAUUCUAAAAGUGAUUUACUCAUGUUUAGACAUUAAGAUAUGUUGAUUCAAUGAACUCCUCCAGUAAAAUGUGGAAUAUUACAUGGCAAAGAAAGAUGUGCUUUAUAAAAAUUUAUAUAUACAGCAGGAACGGAAUUAUAAAUACAGUAGAAGUGUAACUAUGUAAAUCCAACAUAAGAAAAAAAGACUAUAAAGAAACCCACCAAAAUAAUAUUAGUAGUUAUGUUACAGUGUGAGAUCAUGUGAGAUCGGUUUUAUUUUUACAUAUUCUCUAUUUCAAAAUUCCCUGGGAUUUUUUGGAAAAAAAAAAAAAGUGAUGUGCAAAGCUCCCCCAAAUGGCUUAACUUGUUACUUUGAAUCUUUGGCAUUUGGGGAACCACAGAGGAAAAAUAAUUCAUAAAAUGCAAAAA